GUAGGUGGCAAGCGUUGUCCGGAAUUAUUGGGCGUAAAGCGCGCGCAGGCGGUUCUUUAAGUCUGAUGUGAAAGCCCACGGCUCAACCGUGGAGGGUCAUUGGAAACUGGAGAACUUGAGUACAGACGAGGAAAGCGGAAUUCCACGUGUAGCGGUGAAAUGCGUAGAGAUGUGGAGGAACACCAGUGGCGAAGGCGGCUUUCUGGUCUGUAACUGACGCUGAGGCGCGAAAGCGUGGGGGAGCAAACAGGAUUAGAUACCCUGGUAGUCCACGCCGUAAACGAUGAGUGCUAAGUGUUAGGGGGUUUCCGCCCCUUAGUGCUGCAGCUAACGCAUUAAGCACUCCGCCUGGGAGUACGACCGCAAGGUUG
Molecule: ribosomal RNA, 371 nt
Filed under: uncultured organism
Description: partial 16S ribosomal RNA
Rfam family: Bacterial small subunit ribosomal RNA
Source: RNAcentral